This 253-nucleotide ribosomal RNA is filed under the name uncultured bacterium. RNAcentral's name for it is "partial 16S ribosomal RNA". It matches the Rfam family "Bacterial small subunit ribosomal RNA", at positions 524 to 776 of the family's 1533-position model. The record is from RNAcentral.
UACGAAGGGGGCUAGCGUUGCUCGGAAUCACUGGGCGUAAAGGGUGCGUAGGCGGGUCUUUAAGUCAGGGGUGAAAUCCUGGAGCUCAACUCCAGAACUGCCUUUGAUACUGAGGAUCUUGAGUUCGGGAGAGGUGAGUGGAACUGCGAGUGUAGAGGUGAAAUUCGUAGAUAUUCGCAAGAACACCAGUGGCGAAGGCGGCUCACUGGCCCGGUACUGACGCUGAGGUGCGAAAGCGUGGGGAGCAAGCAGG